GACCGCGUAGCUCAGUUUGCAGAGCAUUGGGCUAGUACAGUAUUUCAAAGGUCGUAGGUUCGAUUCCUCCCGUGGCCA
Molecule: non-coding RNA, 78 nt
Organism: Paramuricea clavata
Lineage: Eukaryota; Metazoa; Cnidaria; Anthozoa; Malacalcyonacea; Plexauridae
Source: the annotation of a GenBank genome assembly